GACGGAGGAUGCAAGUGUUAUCCGGAAUCACUGGGCGUAAAGCGUCUGUAGGUGGUUUAAAAAGUCCACUGUUAAAAAUUGAAGCUUAACUUCAAAGGUGCGUUGGAAACUUUUAAACUUGAGUAUGGUAGGGGUAAAGGGAAUUUCCAGUGGAGCGGUGAGAUGCGUAGAUAUUGGAAAGACCACCAAUGGCGAAGGCACUUUACUGGGCCAUUACUGACACUGAGAGACGAAAGCUAGGGGAGCAAAUGGG
RNAcentral lists this ribosomal RNA (253 nucleotides) under uncultured prokaryote. RNAcentral's name for it is "partial 16S ribosomal RNA". It matches the Rfam family "Bacterial small subunit ribosomal RNA", at positions 524 to 776 of the family's 1533-position model. The record is from RNAcentral.